Non-coding RNA from Podarcis lilfordi (Lilford's wall lizard), 70 nucleotides. NCBI's taxonomy places the organism in Eukaryota, Metazoa, Chordata, Lepidosauria, Squamata, Lacertidae. The record is from the annotation of a GenBank genome assembly.
GGCCAUGUCAGUUGGUUAGAGCGUGGUGCUACUAACACCAAGGUUGCAGGUUCGAUCCCCGUAUGGGCCA